UACGUAGGGACCAAGCGUUGUUCGGAUUUACUGGGCGUAAAGGGCGCGUAGGCGGCAAUUCAAGUCAUCUGUGAAAUCUCCGGGCUUAACCCGGAACGGUCAGAUGAUACUGCUUUGCUAGAGUGCGGAAGGGGCAAUCGGAAUUCUUGGUGUAGCGGUGAAAUGCGCAGAUAUCAGGAGGAACACCAAUAGCGAAGGCAGCUCGCUGGGACGUUACUGACACUGAGGCGCGAAAGCGUGGGGAGCGAACAGG
This 253-nucleotide ribosomal RNA is filed under the name uncultured bacterium. RNAcentral describes it as "partial 16S ribosomal RNA". It matches the Rfam family "Bacterial small subunit ribosomal RNA", at positions 524 to 776 of the family's 1533-position model. The record is from RNAcentral.